UACGAAGGGGGCUAGCGUUGUUCGGAAUUACUGGGCGUAAAGCGCGCGCAGGCGGUCCUUUAAGUCUGAUGUGAAAGCCCACGGCUCAACCGUGGAGGGUCAUUGGAAACUGGGGGACUUGAGUGCAGAAGAGGAGAGUGGAAUUCCACGUGUAGCGGUGAAAUGCGUAGAGAUGUGGAGGAACACCAGUGGCGAAGGCGACUCUCUGGUCUGUAACUGACGCUGAGGCGCGAAAGCGUGGGGAGCAAACAGG
RNAcentral lists this ribosomal RNA (253 nucleotides) under uncultured bacterium. RNAcentral's name for it is "partial 16S ribosomal RNA". It matches the Rfam family "Bacterial small subunit ribosomal RNA", at positions 524 to 776 of the family's 1533-position model. The record is from RNAcentral.